GAUCGAUCGCUCAUGCGAGCGGAUCGCAGCGAUCCGUCGCUCGUGUGUGGGGUAUAAAGCUGUUCACUGGCGAUACUAUGGAGAGCAUUAGCUAUUUGCUGCCUCCAAGUUGAUAUGUAUCUGUAUGGCCACCAUCUACAAAGCACUGUGAAUAAAUACAGCGUUUGGACAACACUUUGUAGUGUUCCGCCAUAUUAGCGGUAUGUUUGAAAGAUGUCUGCCUGGCUGUACUAGCGAUUUAACGACACUGAAAAACUGGUGAGCGUUUGUGGACGACCUACGCCCGCAAUCCUAGUCAUGUUACUUGGAGUCAAUGUACGGUGGGCUGGAAUGUGGGCUGAUCCCGGCGGUACUGCGAUGCUGGGUCAACAUGUGACAAUGCUGGAGGAAUCCCCUAGCACUCUGUCAUGAGCCAAAAAUGAGUUUAAAAUUCUGGUCCUAGUGAAAAUCACCAAAGAAGUAUUUUAAUCAGAGUUUCCUGUCAUUUGGUGGGGAGAGUCCGGUGGAGCUGCUUCAUGGGUACCAGCUAAGAAAACCACUACACCUCCUGCAACCUCCACCUGUUAGACAUCAACCCAUGCAGCCACUGCGCCUCCUCUAUCAGGAUGCGGCUGUCUGGGUGCGCGGUUUUGGACGUCACCCUGGAUGGAUUCCAGCUGUCACCACCAGAUGCUGUCUGGUGCGCAGUGUUUGAACAUCACCCUGGACGGAUUCGAUAUGUCAUCGCCAGAUGCUAGAGGCAGCAUCUCUGCGACAUCUGCAUGGAGGACAGACUCUGCUUGGGGUCACCAUGUGGAUGGCCAGGCACUCCCUGAUGUCAUACCGUUGCUUAUAAGCUCGUCCAUAUCAGACGUCACAUCAGAUACUGCUUCUGGUUCACCACUCCUGUGC
Molecule: long non-coding RNA, 891 nt
Organism: Schistocerca gregaria
Lineage: Eukaryota; Metazoa; Arthropoda; Insecta; Orthoptera; Acrididae
Exons: 3
Source: RefSeq, a predicted model, not a curated record